RNAcentral lists this ribosomal RNA (240 nucleotides) under uncultured bacterium. Its description in RNAcentral is "partial 16S ribosomal RNA". It matches the Rfam family "Bacterial small subunit ribosomal RNA", at positions 94 to 334 of the family's 1533-position model. The record is from RNAcentral.
AGCGGCGGACGGGUGAGUAACGCGUGGGUAACCUGCCUCAUACAGGGGGAUAACAGUUAGAAAUGACUGCUAAUACCGCAUAAGACCACGGUACCGCAUGGUACAGUGGUAAAAACUCCGGUGGUAUGAGAUGGACCCGCGUCUGAUUAGGUAGUUGGCGGGGUAACGGCCUACCAAGCCGACGAUCAGUAGCCGACCUGAGAGGGUGACCGGCCACAUUGGGACUGAGACACGGCCCAG